Long non-coding RNA from Erinaceus europaeus (western European hedgehog), 410 nucleotides. RefSeq lists it as uncharacterized. The transcript is spliced from 2 exons. Lineage: Eukaryota; Metazoa; Chordata; Mammalia; Eulipotyphla; Erinaceidae. The record is from RefSeq and is a predicted model, not a curated record.
GCUUCAUGAAUGGUGAAGCAGUUCUGCAAACAUCUCAUUCUUACUUUCCUUCUCUAUCCCCCUUUCACUCCCAAUUUCUGCCUCUAUUCAAUACAUAACAAAAAAAAAAAAAAAUGGGAGUCAGGCAGUAGCGCAGCGGGUUAAGCGCAGGUGGCGCAAAGCACAAGGACCGGCAUAAGGAUCCCGGUUCGAACCCCGGCUCCCCACCUGCAGGGGAGUCACUUCACAGGCGGUGAAGCAGGUCUGCAGGUGUCUAUUUUUCUCUCCUCCUCUCUGUCUUCCCCUCCUCUCUCCAUUUCUCUCUGUCCUAUCCAACAACGAUGACAACAACAAUAAUAACUACAACAAUAAAAAACAACAAGGGCAACAAAAGGGAAUAAAUAAAUAAAAUAAAAUAAAAAAAAGAAAAG